Long non-coding RNA from Gorilla gorilla gorilla (western lowland gorilla), 300 nucleotides. RefSeq lists it as uncharacterized. The record is from RefSeq and is a predicted model, not a curated record. The transcript has 3 exons. Lineage: Eukaryota; Metazoa; Chordata; Mammalia; Primates; Hominidae.
AUCAUAGGAAUGCUUCUGUAUCUCCGGAUAAUGAGAGCUGAAGAAAUAACUCUAAAGAAUAAGUACCAAGACAGACCUGAUCAUAAAACCAAUAACAAAGAAUAUCAGAAGUCUUUUACAUGAAAGAAGAAAAAAAUGCGAGCAAGAAGGCCUAAGAAAGGAGAGGUUUCAAUAGACGAUGUUUAAGAUUAGAAAACAGAGAGAAAUCAGACGGAGCCAAAUUAAAACUGUGAGGUGGAUGAUUAAUGAUUUCCCAUCAAAACUCUCACAAAAUUGCAUUUAUUUGAUGAAAGAAAUAAG